Molecule: ribosomal RNA, 500 nt
Filed under: uncultured bacterium
Lineage: Bacteria
Description: partial 16S ribosomal RNA
Rfam family: Bacterial small subunit ribosomal RNA
Source: RNAcentral
AUUGAACGCUGGCGGCAGGCUUAACACAUGCAAGUCGAGCGGGGGAAGGUAGCUUGCUACCGGACCUAGCGGCGGACGGGUGAGUAAUGCUUAGGAAUCUGCCUAUUAGUGGGGGACAACAUCUCGAAAGGGAUGCUAAUACCGCAUACGUCCUACGGGAGAAAGCAGGGGAUCUUCGGACCUUGCGCUAAUAGAUGAGCCUAAGUCGGAUUAGAUAGUUGGUGGGGUAAAGGCCUACCAAGGCGACGAUCUGUAGCGGGGCUGAGAGGAUGAUCCGCCACACUGGGCCUGAGACACGGCCCAGACUCCUACGUGAGGCAGCAGUGGGGAAUAUUGGACAAUGGGGGGAACCUUGAUCCAGCCAUGCAGCGUGUGUGAAGAAGGCCUAUGGUUGUAAAGCACUUUAAGCGAGGAGGAGGCUACUCUAGUUAAUACCUAGGGAUAGUGGACGUUACUCGCAGAAUAAGCACCGGCUAACUCUGUGCCAGCCGCCGCCGUAA